GUGAAAGGCUAAUCAAGGCGGGUGAUAGCUGGUUCUCCUCGAAAGCUAUUGAGGUAGCGCCUCGCGUCUAACUCAGGGGGGUAGAGCACUGUUACGGCUAGGGGGGACAUAAGUCCUUACCAAACCGUUGCAAACUCCGAAUACCCUGAAGUUCAAUCGCGGGAGACACACGGUGGGAGCUAAAUUUCAUCGUGAAGAGGGAAACAACCCAGACCGCCAGCUAAGGUCCCUAAAAUUGGCUAAGUGGGAAACGAAGUGG
Molecule: ribosomal RNA, 259 nt
Filed under: Chaetoceros curvisetus
Lineage: Eukaryota; Bacillariophyta; Thalassiosirophyceae; Chaetocerotales; Chaetocerotaceae
Description: partial Bacterial large subunit ribosomal RNA
Rfam family: Bacterial large subunit ribosomal RNA
Source: RNAcentral